RNAcentral lists this ribosomal RNA (464 nucleotides) under uncultured Klebsiella sp. RNAcentral's name for it is "bacterial SSU rRNA". It matches the Rfam family "Bacterial small subunit ribosomal RNA", at positions 338 to 795 of the family's 1533-position model. The record is from RNAcentral. Lineage: Bacteria; Pseudomonadati; Pseudomonadota; Gammaproteobacteria; Enterobacterales; Enterobacteriaceae.
CCUACGGGCGGCAGCAGUGGGGAAUAUUGCACAAUGGGCGCAAGCCUGAUGCAGCCAUGCCGCGUGUGUGAAGAAGGCCUUCGGGUUGUAAAGCACUUUCAGCGGGGAGGAAGGCGGUGAGGUUAAUAACCUCAUCGAUUGACGUUACCCGCAGAAGAAGCACCGGCUAACUCCGUGCCAGCAGCCGCGGUAAUACGGAGGGUGCAAGCGUUAAUCGGAAUUACUGGGCGUAAAGCGCACGCAGGCGGUCUGUCAAGUCGGAUGUGAAAUCCCCGGGCUCAACCUGGGAACCGCAUUCGAAACGGGCAGGCUAGAGUCUUGUAGAGGGGGGGAGAAUUCCAGGUGUAGCGGUGAAAUGCGUAGAGAUCUGGAGGAAUACCGGUGGCGAAGGCGGCCCCCUGGACAAAGACUGACGCUCAGGUGCGAAAGCGUGGGGAGCAAACAGGAUUAGAUACCCAGUAGUC